AUUGUAUCUACACUGUAAAAAAUUGCUGUAAAAAAACGGGGAAUUUUGGACAGUAAUUUACCGUUUCUCAUAAAUACAGUUGAAUACUGUAAAUAAACAUUAAUAUGACAAACAAAAUAAUAACAGCAAGCUCCUGUUCAGUCUUACGGGAUAAUACAGUAUUUUUUGGUCUGGUCAGGCAUGUCAGACAUGUGACGAGCUCAUCUGCAACCAUGAGUAAAACUGAUUUAACUACACUGUUUUUCUGCAUUUUAUUAUACGAGAAGGAAGCAGAAUUAAGGACUAUCUAUCCAUUUUCACUCCGAUUGUGACCCUACCAGCACUGAGACGGACGACGAAUUCACUUGUUUUUUACUCCUCGCCUGUAUAUCAAGUUGCUGGUGAUGAAGUAACAUUUGGAGGUUGGAUGAUCAGCAGUGAAAACAUCAUCAUCUGUGAAGGCAAGAUGAAGCUGCGAGGACACUGGAGUUUGUUCAAAGAUGCUUAAUUGGUGUGAACCCUAAGAGGGGAACAAAAGCCAGGCAGGUGAAGGUGUCCAAGAAGACAGGAAAGCUUGUCCAGAAAAAUGCAGCAAUGGAGUGCAGAGUGGCCACCCUCAUCAAAAAUUUCAUGGACUUUGAGUGGCUUUCACAUUGUAUUCUGCAGUGUUGUGAUAUUUAUGUGACAUCACAGCAUUAUGUUUUAUUCAGCCCAGUCUCAUUAGUGAGGCAGAAACUGACAUUUAAGAAUGCACUGAAUUUUGUUAUAUUUAAUAAAAACAGUGUUUUAUCAUCAUCCUUUGUUUGAGAAUUUUUUUGCAAGCAAUUUUAAGUGUUUAUUUUAAAAUUACAUUUUAACAAUGCUAGAAAAAUCACAUUCUACAGUAUAAAUAACAGCAGGAACCCUAAAAUAACAGUAUAAUGCAUCCAAACAUCUGACAGUAUUAUACUGUGCAGCUCCCUUUUUUUACAGUACUGUCUCGUAAUAUUUGUACAGUAAAAAACUGUUGUUGUAAAUUACAGUAGGUAAUCUGUAAAAUUACAACUAUAUGCUGGCAAAUCUAGCUGCCAGUAUAUUACUGUAAUUUAACAGUGAAAUUUUUUACAGU
Molecule: long non-coding RNA, 1087 nt
Organism: Paramisgurnus dabryanus
Lineage: Eukaryota; Metazoa; Chordata; Actinopteri; Cypriniformes; Cobitidae
Source: RefSeq, a predicted model, not a curated record